RNAcentral lists this ribosomal RNA (468 nucleotides) under uncultured bacterium. RNAcentral's name for it is "partial 16S ribosomal RNA". It matches the Rfam family "Bacterial small subunit ribosomal RNA", at positions 28 to 507 of the family's 1533-position model. The record is from RNAcentral.
GACGAACGCUGGCGGCGUGCUUAACACAUGCAAGUCGAACGGAAAGGCCCUGCUUUUGUGUGGUUCUCGAGUGGCGAACGGGUGAGUAACACGUGAGUAACCUGCCCUUGACUUUGGGAUAACUUCAGGAAACUGGUGCUAAUACCGGAUAGGAGCUCCUGCUGCAUGGUGGGGGUUGGAAAGUUUCGGCGGUGGGGGAUGGACUCGCGGCUUAUCAGCUUGUUGGUGGGGUAGUGGCUUACCAAGGCUUUGACGGAUAGCCGGCCUGAGAGGGUGACCGGCCACAUUGGGACUAAGAUACGGACCAGACUCCUACGGGAGGCAGCAGUGGGGAAUAUUGCACAAUGGGCGGAAGCCUGAUGCAGCAACGCCGCGUGCGGGAUGACGGCCUUCGGGUUGUAAACCGCUUUCGCCUGUGACGAAGCGUGAGUGACGGUAAUGGGUAAAGAAGCACCGGCUAACUACGUG